CCCAUAGUUGAAUAUUUGUGUAACAAGCUUGGAGCUUUUGAUAUUCACGCUCCAGCUUGAGGGGGGAUGUUGAGAUUCAUUUUUUGCUAGUUUUAUUUA
Molecule: long non-coding RNA, 99 nt
Organism: Ipomoea nil (Japanese morning glory)
Lineage: Eukaryota; Viridiplantae; Streptophyta; Magnoliopsida; Solanales; Convolvulaceae
Exons: 3
Source: RefSeq, a predicted model, not a curated record